This is a non-coding RNA of Musa acuminata subsp. malaccensis (wild Malaysian banana), 874 nucleotides long. The record is from RefSeq and is a predicted model, not a curated record. NCBI's taxonomy places the organism in Eukaryota, Viridiplantae, Streptophyta, Magnoliopsida, Zingiberales, Musaceae.
UGCAUCGUCAAGUUCUUGUGAUCAGUUAUCUCCUUUAUGGUCAAUCUCUCUUGCAAAGGAUAUCUUCUUAUGAUUUCUUUGAUUAUUAAGACAACAGGAUGGAAUAUUUUCUCACCAAAGAACUUUCUCCUGGCAUUCCUGUUGGGUUUGGGUACUUUCUGGUUUUCUUUGUAGAAGCUGCCACCAGAACUUGAGGGCCGAUGCUGCAAAGUUGCUAUAUGCUGUAUUAGAGAGAGCUGACUUAAUGGUGAUCCAUCAUUUGAGGCUCUACUAAGAAAAGCUUUCGCAUCCAAGUUGCAUAAUUUUACUUUUAUUUAUUCAUUGUUUAUGCAUAUUUGCAUGCUUAUCAUUACUUAUGUUGGUUAACUGCUGACUGCAAAAUGAAGAGGGAAAAAUAUCUUUGUUAUGUAAAACUAAAGAUGUUUUUUCUCUGCUUAAUGUUUCAAGUUUUGCCAAUGUGAUAUUAUUGUUCUUGUGCUAAUUCAUAAGCUCGAUGCAUAAGCUAUUUCAUCCUUAGGACCAUUCGAGUAUUUAUCAUCUCUUCUCAUUAUUCUGAGUUAAACCAUUAUUGUUGUGAUUAAAGGAAAAAAGCUACAGUUGGAAAAUGAAACAUGGUGGAUGGUUUGAAGAUAAGAGAAUUAGAGUGCAGUAGCAUUCAAUUCUCAAACAAAGAAUGGGAAGUAUUGCCAUACACUUACAUCACCUGAAGGAGAGAAGCAUUACGAGAAAGCAAAGAACAGGCUGCCGUUUAGAGCUGAUGGUGCAAUACAGUGAGAUCAAUAAGCUUAGAAGCUCGCUGGUUUCGUUGCUUCUAUCAUGAGUUCACAAGAUCAAAGGCAACAAAUAGCUAAUUGCUAAUUAAAUUAUGUCAAAG